AGAGUUUGAUCCUGGCUCAGAUUGAACGCUGGCGGCAUGCCUAACACAUGCAAGUCGAACGGAAACAGGACGCUGGGAUCUCUUCGGAGUGAACUUGUCGCUGUCGAGUGGCGGACGGGUGAGUAAUGCAUAGGAAAUUGCCUUGAAGUGGGGGAUAGCCCGGAGAAAUCCGGAUUAAUACCGCAUGCGCUCUACGGAGCAAAGCGGGCCUCUGAUUCAAGCUCGCGCUUUGAGAUAUGCCUAUGUCGGAUUAGCUAGUUGGUAGGGUAAAAGCCUACCAAGGCGACGAUCCAUAGCUGGUCUGAGAGGAUGAUCAGCCACACUGGGACUGAGACACGGCCCAGACUCCUACGGGAGGCAGCAGUGGGGAAUAUUGCACAAUGGGCGCAAGCCUGAUGCAGCAAUGCCGCGUGUGUGAAGAAGGCCUGCGGGUUGUAAAGCACUUUUAUUAGGAAAGAAAAACCCGGAAUUAAUACUUCCGGCAUUGACGGUACCUAAAGAAUAAGCACCGGCUAACU
RNAcentral lists this ribosomal RNA (518 nucleotides) under uncultured bacterium. RNAcentral's name for it is "bacterial SSU rRNA". It matches the Rfam family "Bacterial small subunit ribosomal RNA", at positions 8 to 502 of the family's 1533-position model. The record is from RNAcentral.